GCGAGUGAAGCGACAAAAGCUCAAAUUUGAAAUCUGUCACCUUUGGUGUCCGAGUUGUAAUUUGAAGAAGGUAACUUUGGUGCUGGCUCUUGUCUAUGUUCCUUGGAACAGGACGUCACAGAGGGUGAGAAUCCCGUGCGAUGAGAUGCCCAGUACCAUGUAAAGUGCUUUCGAAGAGUCGAGUUGUUUGGGAAUGCAGCUCUAAGUGGGUGGUAAAUUCCAUCUAAAGCUAAAUAUUGGCGAGAGACCGAUAGCGAACAAGUACAGUGAUGGAAAGAUGAAAAGAACUUUGAAAAGAGAGUGAAAAAGUACGUGAAAUUGUUGAAAGGGAAGGGCUUGAGAUCAGACUUGGUAUUUUGCGACCUUUUCCUUCGUGGAGAGGGCCCCCGCAGUUUACUGGGCCAGCAUCAGUUUGGAUGGCAAGAGAAUGACAUUGGAAUGUAGCUCUGCUUCGGUAGAGUGUUAUAGACUUUGUUGAUAUUGCCUAUCUAGACUGAGGACUGCGUCUUUGACUAGGAUGCUGGCGUAAUGAUCUUAAGCCGCCC
RNAcentral lists this ribosomal RNA (545 nucleotides) under [Candida] sp. EJ7S08. RNAcentral describes it as "eukaryotic LSU rRNA". It matches the Rfam family "Eukaryotic large subunit ribosomal RNA", at positions 89 to 650 of the family's 3401-position model. Lineage: Eukaryota; Fungi; Ascomycota; Saccharomycetes; Saccharomycetales. The record is from RNAcentral.